AAUCAACGCUGGCGGCGUGCCUCAGACAUGCAAGUCGAACGCGAAACCUUCCUUCGGGAGGGGAGUAGAGUGGCGCACGGGUGAGUAACACGUAGGUAAUCUACCUUUGGGUGGGGAAUAACAGCCGGAAACGGCUGCUAAUACCGCAUAAUGCAGCGGCUCGACAUCGAGACAGUUGUUAAAGCGGGGGAUCGUAAGACCUCGCGCCUAAAGAGGAGCCUGCGGCAGANAGCUAGUUGGUAAGGUAACGGCUUACCAAGGCGACGAUCUGUAGCCGGCCUGAGAGGGCGGUCGGCCACACUGACACUGACAUACGGGUCAGACUCCUAC
RNAcentral lists this ribosomal RNA (330 nucleotides) under uncultured bacterium. RNAcentral describes it as "bacterial SSU rRNA". It matches the Rfam family "Bacterial small subunit ribosomal RNA", at positions 32 to 342 of the family's 1533-position model. The record is from RNAcentral.